RNAcentral lists this long non-coding RNA (844 nucleotides) under Phasianus colchicus (ring-necked pheasant). RNAcentral describes it as "lncRNA (ENSPCLG00000004841.1)". Lineage: Eukaryota; Metazoa; Chordata; Aves; Galliformes; Phasianidae. The record is from RNAcentral.
CCUGCCUGUGUGUCGCCUUUCAAGUGAUUUCCCUUGCUGCUCUCGCUAACACGACUUUAUCCCUGCCGGAGAGGCUGUUGAGCAUUGAUGGGGAGAGGUGAAGGCCUGCACCAGCCCUUGCCCGGCGCUGGGCCCAGCCAUUGGAGCAGGGCUGUAAAAGCAGAAAAAUGAGCGUGCAUUGUGCUUAGGCUGCAGUCAUUCUGCCUAAAUUGGGGAACAUUCUGCAAAUAUUUCAAGUCAAAUACUACUGGUGCUGUCACUGCUGCCUCUCAGUCACUGGGCUACAGCAGCCAUAGGUUGGUCUCGUUGACUCCAGCUGGGCAGCCUCCCGUUUGGACAAGCAAGACUACCAAAAGACUGAAAAUUGGCCCUGUGAAUAAGCUCAUGGCCACAUACAGGAGUGGGGAGCUCUGCCUGUCUGCCUCCUGGCUGCAGAAGCAUUGCAAAUCUGCUCACAGUACAACCAUCUUCUGAUCGAGUAACAGCAGAUGUGCCAUAAUCUACAAGAGCAUGGAUGGGUGGAUGGAUGGAUGGGCAGUGGCUGUACUGCCAGCCUUCUCCCAGAACAUUCUGUUUUCCUCUUGGUUCUCACGUGGCAUUGUGGCAGUCACAGCUUCCAAACAAGACCAUGGGCAUUUCUUGCUCUCCGGAAGGACUCAUCUCAUGCAGGCUCACCUGCAUGGCAAGUGUUCUGCACCACCUAUUGCACUGCUCUCCUGUAUGCCCACGUUUCAUUAUAUAGUUGCCAUUUCUAACGAUGUAAAAAUAGGACAUGCUGGCGUGGUUUAAAUGGUGCUACGAGCACUGCAGAGAGGCACAGUGAUAGCUGUGUGGGAAAUGAGAG